Molecule: long non-coding RNA, 383 nt
Organism: Epinephelus moara (kelp grouper)
Lineage: Eukaryota; Metazoa; Chordata; Actinopteri; Perciformes; Serranidae
Exons: 3
Source: RefSeq, a predicted model, not a curated record
AGCUGGACCUGGGUGGAAACAAGCUGCAGGAUUCAGGAGUGAAGCUGCUGUGUGAUCUUGUGGAGAGGCCACACUGUAGACUGAAGACUCUGAGGGUACCUUACAGAGUAUACAGGACUACACCUGUCAGACAUGAAGGAGCUGAUGCGUCCACGUCAAAGACAAACCUGGAUGUGUCUGAGGACAGAAGAGAGGACAGUGUGGAUGAAAAUGAUCCAGGGAGGUUGAAGCAGCAGCAGCGGCAGCUGGUGUGUGAAGAGGAUCUGAACACAAAUAUCAGUUUUUCACUUGAACAUUUUUAUUAAUUUGUCAGUGAUCAGACUGGGGUUUCUUAGUUUUACCCCCUCCAGGGUUCAAUAUUCCUUCUCUUCUUCAUCCUCCUU